This is a long non-coding RNA of Epinephelus fuscoguttatus (brown-marbled grouper), 456 nucleotides long. RefSeq lists it as uncharacterized. The record is from RefSeq and is a predicted model, not a curated record. Lineage: Eukaryota; Metazoa; Chordata; Actinopteri; Perciformes; Serranidae. The transcript is spliced from 2 exons.
CCAUGAGCAGUGUAGGGAAUUAGAUGAAAGUAGUGACUAUCUGUUAGUAUCACACAAGAAUUUCCACAGGAACAUUGCCAUUUUCUUGUCGAGGCCAGCGACUCUGAGCAGAAAGAUGUCCUCCCUUCUUAGGAGAACCACACUGACCUGCUCCAGGUUGAUGAAAACCAUUCAGCAAAAUCACAGAUCAACCAUCUACAGCAAGCCACCAAAGGAGGAGAUUGGGCCAGUGCAAUCUUUGUUUGCCUUGUGUGCGUUUGCUGUGACUCUCUUGGGCCCGGCUGGAUGGAUCAUGCAUCACCUCCCAGAAUACCGGCGGAGAUCACCUCCACAACCCUGACUUCUGCAAGAACUCUGCAUUCUCGCGCAUACACUUAAUAUAUGUGGAUUUUCUCAAUGUGUAAAAUGAAGCUUGAUGAUGUAACUGUUUCCCUGUAUAAAAGGACUUUGAUGUGA